Molecule: ribosomal RNA, 253 nt
Filed under: uncultured bacterium
Lineage: Bacteria
Description: partial 16S ribosomal RNA
Rfam family: Bacterial small subunit ribosomal RNA
Source: RNAcentral
UACGGAGGUCCCAAGCGUUGUUCGGAUUCACUGGGCGUAAAGGGUGUGUAGGAGGUCAGGCAAGUCUGGCGUGAAAUACCGGGAUUCAAUGUCGGAAGAGCGCUGGAUACUGCCUGGCUUGAGUGCAGGAGAGGAGAACGGAAUUCCUGGUGUAGCAGUGAAAUGCGCAGAUAUCAGGAGGAACACCGAAGGCGAAAGCAGUUCUCUGGAAGGUUACUGACUCUGAAACACGAAGGCCAGGGGAGCAAACGGG